This 263-nucleotide ribosomal RNA is filed under the name uncultured bacterium. Its description in RNAcentral is "partial 16S ribosomal RNA". It matches the Rfam family "Bacterial small subunit ribosomal RNA", at positions 793 to 1055 of the family's 1533-position model. The record is from RNAcentral.
GUCCACGCCGUAAACGGUGGGUACUAGGUGUGGGUUUCCUUCCUUGGGAUCCGUGCCGUAGCUAACGCAUUAAGUACCCCGCCUGGGGAGUACGGCCGCAAGGCUAAAACUCAAAGGAAUUGACGGGGGCCCGCACAAGCGGCGGAGCAUGUGGAUUAAUUCGAUGCAACGCGAAGAACCUUACCUGGGUUUGACAUGCACAGGACGCCGGCAGAGAUGUCGGUUCCCUUGUGGCCUGUGUGCAGGUGGUGCAUGGCUGUCGU